Molecule: long non-coding RNA, 647 nt
Organism: Ipomoea triloba (trilobed morning glory)
Lineage: Eukaryota; Viridiplantae; Streptophyta; Magnoliopsida; Solanales; Convolvulaceae
Exons: 3
Source: RefSeq, a predicted model, not a curated record
AUUGUCAGAUCAUGAUGAGGUGUCCCGAGUAAGUUCUAACGAUAGGAAACACCUUUAAAUCCAUAUUAUACUCAGAUUAAUCUUCAUUUGCACCGAGUCGACCCAAUUAAGAGAAAAAGCAUCCAGUGGUAAGAAGACGUACAGGAUCAUCCGUUACAGGCGAUGCGGUGUGGAAAACUCCAUCGCAGCCGUUGAUGGCUUCGCGCAAGCUCUGGUAAUCAAGAAGGUCCGCCUUCCAAAGUGUUAACCUUUCACUUGCUCCUUCAAGCUGCUUCAGGUAACCUGGAUUUCUGACGGUUCCUCGGACGGUGUAGCCUUUCUGGAGGAGGAGUUUAACGAGCCAGGAAGCGAUGAAGCCUCCGGCGCCGGUGACGCAGACUACUUGGCCGGAAAGUGACGGCAUGGUUGCUUUUCGGGUGGAUAUGAUGAUGUUGUUGAAAGAGAAAGGAGAUAUGUGAUAUGGAGAUAUAUGGGGAUGCAUAUAUAUAUAUAUAUAUAUAUAGUAAAGUCCCCUUCCCCCACCAAGACACCAACUACGUUUGCAAACUCUAUAAACUAAUUCCCUUUUUAGAAUUACUUAAAAAUUUAACAUAUAUGGUAUCAAUAUUUUACUCUUAAUAAUAUAAGAUCAAAUAAUGAUUUUUAUA